UGGAAAUUUAGCUUGAUCGAGAUUCCAGAACAAAGAAAAAGGUAAAAUAAUGAUUGCACAUUACACCAAAUAGGUUCUCCAUGAUAAAAACAAGUUUGAUUGAUGAAAAUAAAACAGCUGUUACCGUGUUAGGCGCCUCUUUCAAGUCUGUUAUACGUGACCAUGUUGAAAUAUUAUAUGAUACUUUUUCUUAUACUGUCAAUAUAUUGCACUGAUACAAGAUAUUUUAGCCAUAAUUUGUGUUAUUUGAAUCCAUUUAUCAAAUUGCUUGAUUAACUUGUGUUGUUUCUGAAGAUAUAUGCAAUUUAAAAUAAGUAAUAACCAUGAUAACUGUAGAAAGUAAAAAAAAGGGGGAGGGGUGCAUAGCCACAAGUACUUGUUUUCUAUCUGUGACAAGAGCUACUUUCCCUAUAUAUUAAGGCUACAAGUGUCUUUUGCUCUGUUAUUUUUUUAGAUAUCUGGGUCCAUUACAAACUCCGCACAUUUCAAACUUGGCAUAUUACCAACUCCGCCUAUUAAUGAUAACACUGCAUAUAUCACUGGGGGUCGUCGCUAACAUGCAUGAAAUAUUUGCCACUGGAUGCAGUGGCGGAUCCAGAACUUUUCCUAAGGGGGGGCCCGCUGACUGACCUAAGGGGGGGGCCUCUCCAGUCAUGUUUCAGUGAUUCCUUAUAUGAUCAAGCCAAUUUUUCCCACGAAAGGGGGGCCCAUCCCCUGGAUCCGCCUAUGGGAUGUUGAGCAACAAACGAUCAAUCAUUGUAUCACUGGGUCUGACAUGGAAAUAGACAAUUGUGCCAAUAAAGAUGUUGUAAAAUAUAGGCGUCACAGAAAAAAAUUAAGAUAGCCAUCAAAGUUGUCGUAAUGGGACUAGGUCGUUGUAGGAAGGCGUCCCAGAAAAAAAUUAAAAAAACAGCCUUCCAAGUCUUGAAAGUGUCAUAAUGAUUUAGACUAGGAUAUAGCCUUGAGAGUUGAGUAAAAUUUUCUUGUUUUCAGGGUAAAACCCAGUUUACAGGUGUUAAAAAACAGUACAUAGGGACAUCUUUUUGCUGUACAAUUUAUAGUAUGAAAUCUAUAUGUUUAUCAAUGACGAGCUACAUGUACAAUCACUAAAUAUGUGAUCAGAAACAAUGUUGUAAUCAAUCAUAAAACAUAUGAAUUUUGGAAUGCAUUUAAAUUUGUCACUUUGUUCUCUUAAAGAUUUGUUGGACUAACAUGAUCAAAUAAACAUGCAUACAUUUUUUUUAUAUAAAUAAGGCGGUAAAUUUUCUCGUUUAAAUUGUUUCACAUUGUCAUUUCGGGGCUUUUCAUAGCUGGCUAUGCGGUAUGGGCUUUGCUCAUUGUUGAAGGCCGUACGGUUACCUAUAAAUGUUAAUUUCUGUGUCAUUUUGGUCUCUUGAAAAGAGUUGUCUCAUUGGCAAUCAUACCACAUCUUCUUUUUUAUAUGAAACAGACAGAAGAAUAUAAAAGAUAAUUGAAUGUAUUUUUAAUUUUUUUUCCAGAGUCUUGUAUAUAAAUCCACAGAUCCAAUGUGUCUGAGGUUGAGGAAAUCAUUGCAGUAACCAUGUAACAGUUAAGCAUGCACUAGCUCAAAAAUUUGGACCAAGAUUUUAAAAAGGUAAACAUCAAUUGAUCAGCUCUUUUUAUGUCCUCCUUAACUAAGUGAUAUAGUUUAACUCUUGUACUGUACGUACAUACAUGUACAUUGAACUCAAAAUUGGAUUCUGUUAUCUAACGUUUGCCUAAACCACAUGUUAUGCAACCAAUACACAACGCUUAUUAUCAUAAAACGCGGAGUUUGAAUUUGGAGAGCAUCUGCUUUACUGUUCUCUAGAUAUGUCCUUUAAAUUAAGUUUGAUAAGAUCAUUUGUGGCUCAUGGACACAUUCUUCUUAUAUUAAUUUUAUUUAUCAAAUUAUAAUUUGUUGAUUUUAUAAAUUGCGUUCAUUGGCAUAUGCUAUGAGGUCUUGUUGUAUCGAUGUACAUUCUAAAUUUAUUAAGGUAGAAUCCUUUGCAUAUCUUAAAUUAAUUGAAAAAUGACAAUAUUGUGAAACCAAACUUCCUUUAUUAUUAUUUGUAGAAUAACCACUGGUUGCUCCAGAAAAUAUUAUGUCCCCUCUUCCCCAGGGAAAGCUCUUUUCUUAAAUUUUAUUUGGGGGUGGUUGUGUAUGAAAUACCAAAAUGCAAAAGGAGUGUUGUUCUUAUUAAUUUUUAAUUCUGUCGGUGCUGGGAUUUUUUUUUUUAAAAGGGCUUAGGGCUGUCCCUUAGGGGCGGACAUAGUAUUUUCUGGAACAGACAUAAUUUUAUUAACACAUGUUCAAUUUAACAACAAAUUUAUUUUUUAAAUAAGAACAAAGGUUAAUCAUAAGAUAUGAAUAAUUAAUUGUGUUAAAUUUCUAACAUACAUCAUCAAAAUGUGUAUAAUGGGCAAAGAUACAAACAUCUCAGUAACAACACAACAUAAUUAUGAAUCUGCAGUUUAUUAUAGGACCAGCAAUAGAAAAAAUAUUGAUUAUGUUUAAACACAGAAUAAUUUUUAAGAACUGCUGUAAUUCAUAAGUUGGGAUCAAUUUAUUUUUUUGUAUUUUAUAAUUUAUGAUAUUUUUUUUUCAGAGAUCUGAAACCAACACAAGACCAGCUGGGUCAAUAUUCCUAAUGCACCUCCAAAUGAGGAACUAAUGCGCCAUCAAAUGAGGAAC
Molecule: long non-coding RNA, 2695 nt
Filed under: Mytilus galloprovincialis (Mediterranean mussel)
Lineage: Eukaryota; Metazoa; Mollusca; Bivalvia; Mytilida; Mytilidae
Source: RNAcentral